UGGAUUGUUUCUACAUAUCCCAUUCGAUGAUAUGGAUAUAUAUACAUCUCCAACCCAUCCAUCAAAUGGGUAGAUUGACUUUUGACCCCUAGGUCACUUUCUUCGACUCAAGCUUUAACUAUGUGAAGCUUCUAAAUAUAAAAAUUUAAAACAAGUAAAGAAAUUUAUUAAUAUUGCUUGACUUAUCUACUAUGAUGGUUGUAACAAUGAGUUUAGCUGAUCGCAUCGAUGCAGAUCUCUAAAGAAUCUCAACAACCGUCUCACAGACGACAUCCCGAAAGCUCUAAGGUCACUGAUAA
RNAcentral lists this long non-coding RNA (299 nucleotides) under Elaeis guineensis (African oil palm). Its description in RNAcentral is "long non-coding RNA (EGUI_LNC033014)". Lineage: Eukaryota; Viridiplantae; Streptophyta; Magnoliopsida; Arecales; Arecaceae. The record is from RNAcentral.